GAGAGAGAGACGGCGAGAAGGAUACGUUGAGAACGAGCUCGUGGAGGCGAAAUUCUGUUAAAACUAACUAAGCGAAGGCGGUCGUGAAAACAAUUUCAUUCGCAACAAGGAGCAACGGCCGGAUUCUGGAAGAGUCAAAGACAGGGAUCCAUCGAAGAUUUGACGGCAGAUUAAAGGGAAAAAUAGGAUUAUCGAAAAUCGUUUAAGGAUCCGACAAUCGAGGAAUCGCUACAAUGGCUGAAAGAACGCCGGCGGCUGACAGUGAAAAAGUGGAAGAAAUCGCGCAGGAUAAGACGCGAAAAAUCGACGCCAUUUUGUCGGCCGAGGCGCCGGUUGACACUGAAAGCGGAAGAGAAAGACGAGUCAGGAGGAACAUCAUCACUGUGCCGGAACAAAAUAACGUCGAGAUCGAGAAAGAUGGAAAGAAGUAUCGCCGUGAUGAAAACGGACGAUGGAGGCGCGUAUUGCGUAUUGAUUAAUGUUUCAUACGAUUCGACAAUAUGAGCGAUGUCAUCUGAAAACGAUGAAUAUUAUAAAAUGAAAAUCAACAAACAAAAGACGACAAGAGAUUGAUAGAGUAUUUAUCCAUUUUGCAUUAUUCAAGGAAGAAACUAUUUCAUUUUUAAUGCGAUUAUAUAUAUCUUUGUCUAUUAUUUAUUCUUUAUAUUAUAUUAUUGUCAUUAUAUAUAAUUACGCCGAAAUAAUUUGUAUUAUAAUAUGAAUCAAAAUUUAUUGUAAAAAAAUACGUUCUAUCUAUGUUUUUCUAUCGACAUCUUUUGUCGUUUAUUUUUAUAAAACAAAAAUCCAUGUACGUACGUCAAUAAAUUCCAGCAAUAAUUAAAAAAAAUCACAGAGUUGAGUGUUUGCACAAAUACGUCACUUUGCGUAUUGAAAUUUAAAUGGACGAAUGGAUUAUUAAAUUUAGAACUAUUUUUUCCCUAAUAGUUUAAUAAUAAUUUUUACCACAUGUAGAAAAAAAUCCACAACAAAUAUUGUUAAAUAAUACACAUUAGUUCCGUUUAUUAUCAGAUUUUGACAUAUAUCAAUAUAUCAUUAUAAAUAUAAUGAUAAUAAUGUUAACACGAAAAAGUAUUAACAGUCAAGCAUUUUUAUGUUAAAUUCAGUGAAAAUAUAUUUAUAUCUGAUUUUCAUCUUGACAUUCUAGAUACAAAGUUGUUUACAGUUACAUGUAUAGUGACCUAUUCUUCCUUGAUCAAUAAAAGAUUAUUAUUUUUUAAAAAUAUCUUCAACUAAGAUCGAUAUUAGUCAGUUAUGUAGCUAGAAGGUUGCUAUAACAAGUCGGAUGCAAGUCGUAGAGCAUGAUAUCUGGGCUGAAACUGUCUACUGUGUAUAUUAUUUCAAAGUGCAUUAUUUAUUAGAGUCAUAAACGCUCCACUUCUUUUCUGUUAAACUUUCAUAGACGUUUACAUGGCAGAGUAAUGGGACUUUCUAGCUACGAUGUUCAUUCAUGAUAUUGAUAGUCAGUGGACUUUGACCGUGAGCAGCACUUUAAUUUGCGUAAUUUCCAUUUUUAUUGUGAUAAUGCAAAGUGUAUCACGUUGGAAGUAACGUCUAGAAUAUAAAUAAGAAACAUGCGAGAUACAACAAAAGCUGCGAGAUACUACGUCAAAAUAAGUAAAGGAACGAGAGAAGGCUAGGUGCGAGAAGGCGUUGAAGAUUUAAAUUACGACGGUUUAGAAGAGAGAUUCGAGAAAGAAAAAAAGUACGAAAUCAGAAGCAUAGACGUUUUCUGCUUCGUUUCUGCUUUUUGCAUUCCAAAUUAUUGCGUUCUAAAUUAUCAUUUCAUUUAGAAACGAAAAUUCUUCGUCGACAUUUUGCUAAUGCUCGUGACGAUAAUGUCGUUAACCUUGAUACCACUGACAGUCUGCCAGGAGAAUAAGGAUGUAAUGUAAAUACACUAUCCGGACCAUAAUGCCAGGAUUGUAUAUGUGCAAGAACAACCACAAAAACCAUGUUCAGAGGAAGGUCAGAGACAGGAUUCCGGAGGAAGAUGUCGCAAGAAGAUCCGUAUAAUGAGAAACACAGGUAUGAAGAUAUCAACGUUUGCGAUGUCAGCAGAAAGCUAAAAGCAAGAUCCAAAAUAUCGAAGCAACGAUGAGAAGAGAGAGAGAGAGAGCGAGAAUAUUCCAUGUGUUUGCAAUAAAUUCGCAUUAUACGGUUAAUUAAAAUUGCGUUACGCGUUAUAAAUUAUAUGUGAAUUAAUUAAAAAAUUUGACAACAAUGUGAGAAUCGCGAAAGUUCUAUAAUACCCUGCAUUUUACAAUUCAGAAUAUAUUUUAUAUUACUAUAUCACAGUAAAAAAUUAAAUUAUAUCCAUUACUGAAUUAUUCUCGUGAUGCGUAAUUGUAAUUAAUUCGUGAAGAGAUGCAAUUGCUGAAGCAGGAAUGCAGUUAAACACACGAAUAGAAUGAGUCUGUAUCAUUAGUCUCUCUCAUUAUUCUCUACAUAAGACUUUUGACAUAAUUUAAUUAAAUUUCCAUUUUAUUAUUCAAGAUCGCCUUUAACUAAUUUUAGAAAAAUGCAAUCAUCGCGACUAGGCAACAUUUCUUAAAAUAUCGUAUCACAAGAAAUAUUACGUGCUUAUGUUUGUGUACUGCAACUUUACGUUAAUUCGUUAAUUUAUACGUCAGAUCAUUGUGAGCUUCGUUUUGCGACUAUGUAAACUGAUAUAUUUAACAUAUAUCAUGAUUGGAAGAUCAGAGAGUAACAUGGCUGAAAUAACAAUAUUCCGAUUUUUGCAACAUAAUGAAAAUAUCUCUUAAUGUUUUCCUGAUAAUGAUCCUGAUGCUGAUGAUCGUCAUGGUGAUAUCACAAAAUUAUGAGGACAUACGUACAAUUAUUACAGCUCCUCCAAGAAAUCACAACGCGCAAAUGUCUAAUCAAUCUAAGAUCAAAAUUGUCGCAGGGAGACCUCGACUAGUGAUGUCGGGAUAGAAGGAAAUAGGUUCAAGAAUGUUGAGAGCUUUUAUAAUUUACAACUUAUUGAAUAAUUCAACAAAGAUAAAUUAUUUUGAAGAGGAUGAUG
Molecule: long non-coding RNA, 3046 nt
Filed under: Pogonomyrmex barbatus (red harvester ant)
Lineage: Eukaryota; Metazoa; Arthropoda; Insecta; Hymenoptera; Formicidae
Description: uncharacterized LOC105432879, transcript variant X2
Source: RNAcentral